RNAcentral lists this ribosomal RNA (497 nucleotides) under uncultured bacterium. RNAcentral describes it as "partial 16S ribosomal RNA". It matches the Rfam family "Bacterial small subunit ribosomal RNA", at positions 28 to 507 of the family's 1533-position model. The record is from RNAcentral.
GAUGAACGCUGGCGGCGUGCCUAAUACAUGCAAGUCGAGCGAACAGACGAGGAGCUUGCUCCUUUGACGUUAGCGGCUGACGGGUGAGUAACACGUGGGUAACCUACCUAUAAGACUGGGAUAACUUCGGGAAACCGGAGCUAAUACCGGAUAAUAUUUCGAACCGCAUGGUUCGAUAGUGAAAGAUGGCUUUGCUAUCACUUAUAGAUGGACCUGCGCCAUAUUAGCUAGUUGGUAAGGUAACGGCUUACCAAGGCAACGAUACGUAGCCGACCUGAGAGGGUGAUCGGCCACAAUGGAACUGAGACACGGUCCAGACUCCUACGGGAGGCAGCAGUAGGGAAUCUUCCGCAAUGGGCGAAAGCCUGACGGAGCAACGCCGCGUGAGUGAUGAAGGUCUUCGGAUCGUAAAACUCUGUUAUUAGGGAAGAAAAAACGUGUAAGUAACUGUGCACGUCUUGACGGUACCUAAUCAGAAAGCCACGGCUAACUACGUG